AGGAAUACCGGCGAGAAAUUGCCGACAAGACCGCAUAGGCUUUCUCUGGUAGAGCAGAGAGAGCAAAGUGUCGCUCGUUGAGAGUGAGACGCUUGAGGAUGGGCCUGUGGCCGAUUAGCUAGUUGGAGAGGUAAGAGCUCCCCAAGGCGACGAUCGGUAGCUGGUCUGAGAGGACGAUCAGCCACACUGGGAUUGAGAACGGCCCAG
Molecule: ribosomal RNA, 207 nt
Filed under: uncultured bacterium
Lineage: Bacteria
Description: partial 16S ribosomal RNA
Rfam family: Bacterial small subunit ribosomal RNA
Source: RNAcentral